GACGCGUUCGAUGUUUGUCUAAGGAAAAGCAGAUUCAUGCCCACAAACUUGACAGGGCAACUGCUGCAAAAGGAUAACGUUAGUCAGAUGUAAUAUGUAAAGAAGGAGCUUAGAGCCUUCUCACACGUUUGGUUGUUUUGAUGUUCCCAUGGCACUCGUAGACACUCGCAAGCGGCCAAAGAGAAAGUCGAAAAGUUAAAAAUUACAAAUGGAAGAACGUAUAUUAAAGCAGUAAUCUAUUCACUAUAAACAGCUUAUUAUGAUGUAUCGAGUAGAGCAGCCCUCUGAGGAAGUGUA
This is a long non-coding RNA of Xenia sp. Carnegie-2017, 297 nucleotides long. RefSeq lists it as uncharacterized. Lineage: Eukaryota; Metazoa; Cnidaria; Anthozoa; Malacalcyonacea; Xeniidae. The record is from RefSeq and is a predicted model, not a curated record. The transcript is spliced from 3 exons.